UUUAAUGAAGACCUGUAUGAAUGGCAUAACGAGGGUUUGACUGUCUCUUUCUCCUGGUCAGUGAAACUGAUCUACCCGUGCAGAAGCGGGUAUGAAUAUACAAGACGAGAAGACCCUAUGGAGCUUUAGACGCCCACCAAUCAUGAAAAGCAAGUCUCAGUUAACAGGCCUCCAAACAACAUGAUACUGGUAUAAACGUCUUCGGUUGGGGCGACCGCGGGAGAGAAAAAAGCUCCCGAGAGGAUUGGGGCUACCCUAAAACCAAGAGCUACACCUCUAAGUCACAAAACAUUUGACCAAAAAUGAUCCGGCUAUUUGCCGAUUAACGAACCAAGUUACCCUAGGGAUAACAGCGCAUUCCCUUCCCAGAGUCCAUAUCGACAAAGGGGUUUACGACCUCGAUGUUGGAUCAGGACAUCCUAAUGGUGCAGCCCCUUUUAAGGGUUCGUUUGUUCAACGAUAAAAGUCCUACUUGAUCUGAGUUCAGAC
RNAcentral lists this ribosomal RNA (489 nucleotides) under Sprattus sprattus (European sprat). RNAcentral describes it as "partial large subunit ribosomal RNA". It matches the Rfam family "Bacterial large subunit ribosomal RNA", at positions 1976 to 2616 of the family's 2925-position model. Lineage: Eukaryota; Metazoa; Chordata; Actinopteri; Clupeiformes; Clupeidae. The record is from RNAcentral.